RNAcentral lists this long non-coding RNA (40794 nucleotides) under Lathyrus oleraceus (garden pea). RNAcentral's name for it is "Pisum sativum (pea) long non-coding RNA (PSAT_LNC022404)". Lineage: Eukaryota; Viridiplantae; Streptophyta; Magnoliopsida; Fabales; Fabaceae. The record is from RNAcentral.
AAUGACCUUACUGUCCUUUCUGGUGCUCACACCAUAGGCCAAACUGAGUGUCAAUUUUUCAGAAAUCGCAUAUACAAUGAAACCAACAUUGACACAAACUUUGCUACCUUAAGAAAAUCAAAUUGUCCUUCCUCUGGUGGUGACACCAAUUUGGCACCACUAGAUUCCGUCACUCCAACUACUUUUGACAACAACUACUAUAAUGACCUUAUUGCUAAUAAAGGACUUCUUCACUCUGAUCAAGCUCUUUUCAAUGGUGUUGGUUCUCAAGUUUCUUUGGUUAGGACUUAUAGCAGAAAUACUGUUGCUUUUAAAAGAGACUUUGCUGCUGCUAUGAUAAAGUUGAGUAGAAUCAGUCCUCUCACUGGGACUAAUGGGGAGAUUAGAAAGAAUUGCAGGCUUGUCAAUUAAUUGAUCAUGAAUUAGAGGGUAUAUUAGCAAUUGAAUAAAUGUUUUCUUUGGAGAAUUUUGAAAGAUUGAUUAAUGUUAUAGGGUCGAACUAGUCAUAAAGGUUGACUAGAUCUUGGACACAAUGACAAUUAUAGUAAUUGUGGGUGCUUCGUUGAUAAUUUGAAUGUUUCUAGUUUCACAAAUACAAGAAAGUUUUUAUAUCUAUGUUGUUUCUCUUACUAAGACUAAUGAAUGGAUCAAUCUAAUUUUUCUUCUAGGUUUUCUUGUACCAUUUUUUCACACUUACCUUAACCGCGUUGUGUUUGUGUAAUGAAUUUCUCGAUUUUUAUUUAUUUAAGACUUUCUUGGUUUUUAUGAGGAAAGGGUUUGUGACAUAAAUUGUGAUUGUCGCGGUAUGAAUUAAUCACAAUUUAUUGUUUAUUUUAAAAAUGAUGAAUAAUGGUAUUGGUAUUGGUAUCGGCACCUGAUGUUGAUGUAGUUUUAGCAACAAAAGAAAGUAUUUUUGUGUAUAUCGUAUUACAAUGGAUGAAAUGAUAUCAAAGUCGUUCAAUAGAAGUUUUUGGUUUGUUUAUAUAACUAAAUGUACAUCACAUUUUACAGUAAGUAAAUGGAAAAAAGAUUAACAUAUGAAAUUGUUGGGCUUAGAGUUCAUUAUCCUAUCCUUAUGUAAUCUCAUGAUCAAUCAUACAUUUCUAGUCAACAAUUAAUAUCAUCACCUAUCAUUCUAAGUAUAUUUUUUUAUGUCUAAACAACGGUGUGAAAUCAAUUGUAUUAUUUAAAAAACAAUCUCUCAUCCAGUUAAAGAAUACGCAAUACAACAGAAAACACAUAAUCACGGUAGUGAAAGUCCUAUAAUCACGGUUGAGCAACCGUGAUGAGGUAGCGUGUGGUUGUAAGUAGGCUAUUUACAACCACAGUCUAUUGGCCUUUGUUAUAUAUUGGAAACGUGCUACAAAUAACCACAGUUGUAAUAAACAACUGUGGUUGUAAGUCAACCCAAAAUUUCAUGUUUGCCACAUGUUUUACCCAACUACAAUGAUAACUUUCAUAACAAUAUAUAAUAUUAAAUAUUGUUAACACAACAACAACAAGAACAACAACAAGAACAACAACCACAAACAACAACAACAGUAACAACAACAAUAACAACGACAACACCAACAAGAAAACCAACAACAACACUUAAUGGAAUGAAUAAGUCGAAAGAAUGACGUACAUUGAAAGUUCUUCAAUGGUGAUGAUUAUUAGAACAUAUAUAAAGAAAAAUGGAAGAAAGUGUAUGAAUAAUAUGGAAGAAAGCGUAUGAAUAAGCUCAUAUUUUAUAUAUUAUUUCAAACCAUAUUCUAUGUGGUCUUCAGUAUUAGGGCAUGAAGAUGAGAGGGAGAGUGACUGAAAGAGAAGACGAAAGCGAUAAAUUUAUAUAAUAUAUUAAAUCGGAAUCACAUAUUAUUUCAUUGAAACUUCAAUUAUUUUUGUGUCAAAUAAUCUAAAUUCAUAUGUGGCACAUUCUAAAACUUUUCUUCACUUUUCAAAAAGAAAACCCACAUACUUAUUCUCUAUGAAAGGUUCUGGGUAUGAAUCCUAACAAAGACAAAAAUGUAUUUUUUUCCAUAAAUUUUUGUAUCAACUAUUUUUUUCUCACCAUAAUUUAUUUACUGUAGUUCUAUAUAAAAAAAUUAAAAUUUUAAUUAACAAGUUCAAAACUUAACAACUAAAAUAUAAACAUAUUAUGCAUCAGAUGAUACAUAUGUAAACAACAUAAAAUAAAUAUCUACUUAAGAUACACAUAUCUAUAUCUAUUAUCUAUUAUAAUAUAUUAAAUCUGAACCGUGAUUUAUUUUAUUGAAAAAUCAUCAUCUAACUUGCCACAUCAAUUAAAAUCUGAUGUGACACUCUUCAAAAUAUAACCAUCUAAAACUUCUAAUAUUCAUUUCACUAUAACGUGUAACCCUCCAUUAAAAAAACUUUAAAAAAACUACAUUUAUAUAUUCCACUAAAUUGUAAAUAACUUUGUUUAAUGAAAAAUAAUAAUUCAUAUUUAACUGUUUUAAAACUAUAAUACAAUUUUUUUUUAUGAUAAUGCUUAAAAAAAAGGGCAUAUGUUGUUUUUAAGUUUAAUUAUAACUUUCAAAUAGACAUACAAAUGCUUCAAAUUCUUUUCUAAAAUAUAAUUUUUAAUUAUAUCAAUAAUUACAUAUUUACAAAAUUAAAUUCAAAAUAAAAAGUUAGACAAUUAUUUUUUCUGCUUCAAUAAAAAACUACAUUUAUAUAUUCCACUAAAAAUUUUAAAUAAUACUGCACUUUCAAACUUGAAUAUAGUAAAACGUUACACAAUUUUAAAUAGUCACUCUUCAUUUUUUGGCUUACUUUCUCAUUAACUUAUAAAACUAUGUUACAUAAUACUAAUAUUUUAAAAUAUCAUAUAAAUAUUACUCACAUAAAUUUGAUGAAACAAAUAUGAUAAGUAAUGAAUGAUAUUUUUUUAAAAAUAUUUAAAAUUUUCAGACUAAAAAUGCCAUGUAUAAAUUUUAUUUUCCAAUUAUAUAUUUUCUUUAAAAUAAAAUAUAACUCCUUAUUUAUACAUAACUCAUAUUAUUAUUUUUCUUUCAAAAACUGUAAAUCAAUUUAUCAUACUCAUUUUUGAUACAUCAAACUCUUUCAAUUGAGAUAUUGAAAGGAACAAAUUUAUUUUCCUAUAAAAUCCAUUUAAAUAUUGUCAUUAAAGACAAUCUUAGAAUCAACACAUAGUUUUUUAUUAAUAAAAAUAUAUUUAAACUAUAAUAUACAUAAACUUAUUAUUUAAAUAUAUUAUUUUAUAUUUAAUUUAAGUUUUUAUGACUUUCUCAUGCUAAAUCUAACUCAUAUAUUAGUAUAUAAGAUAUCAGAAAUGAAAAUAAAAACUUUACUAGGAAUCCCGCGCAACGCGCGUGUCAACAUCUAGUAAUAUAUUAAAUCUGAAUCGUGAUUUAUUUUUUUGACAAAUCAUCAUCUAACUUGUCACAUCAAUUAAAAUCUGACGUAGCACUCUUCAAAAUAUAACCAUUUAAAACUUCUAAUAUUCAUUUCACUAUAAUGUGUAACUCUCCAUUAAAAAAACUACAUAUAUAUUUUCCAUUAAAUUGUAAAUAACUUUUUUUAAUAAAAAAAUAAAAAAUCAUAUUUAACCGUUUGAAAAUUAUAGUAUAAAAAAUCUUAUGACAAUGCUUAAAAUAAAAUGGUCAUAUGAUGUUUUUAAGAUUAGUUAUAACUUUCAAAUAGACAUACAAAUGAUUCAAAUUCUUUUCUAAAAUAUAAUUUUUAAUUAUAUCAACAAUUAUAUAUUACAAAAUAAAUUUCAAAUAAAAAAUUAGACAAUCAUUUUUUCAGCUACAAUAUAUAAUCCUUGACAUAUAAUUUUUUUAAUGAAAGAAUAAUAAUUCAUAUUUAACCAUUUUAAAAUUAUACUACAAAAAAUAUUAUAACAAUGCUUAAAUAAAAUGAAUAUACAAUAUUUUCAAAUUUAAUUGUAAUUUUCAAAUAGAUAUACAAAUGAUUCAAAUUCUUUCUAAAAUAUAAUUUUUAAUUAUAUCUACAGUUACAUGUUACAAAUUUAAAUUAAUAUAAAAUAUUAGACAAUUAUUCUUUCAGCUACAAUAUAUAAUCUUUUUCAUAUAAUUUUUUUACAAUAUAAUAAUAAAUUAUAUUUAUUUGAUAUUAUAAAAAUUUAAUUGAAUUAAAUAAUUUAUAUAUAUGUUAAAAGUAAAUGACAUAGUCAAAUACACAUAAAAAAACAAUAUCAUUGUACUUGGUUUAAAACACAUACUAGGAUUUUUCUAUAACUACUCAAACAUAUUAGAAUAUCGAGAGUUUCAUUUUGAAUUUUAAUAUUAACCUUGAUGAUUAUUUUAAUGAUGUUUGAAUUUUAAAAUUAUAUUGUCUUCAAUCCACAAAAUGAUGAAGAAGUAUUCUUAGAGAAUAUAAAAGAAUAACAAAAUUUUAUGCACAUAUUUUACAUUUUCAAUUUUAAUUUUAAUAUUUUAUCUUCUAUUUACAUGCUUCUAACAUAUUUAUUAUUCACUAAAAUUCUAUUAUUUUUUGUAUUCUCUUCAUCCUAUUGUCUGGAUAACAAAACAUUUAUAUUAGAAAAACAAAUAAUACUACUUAAAUAAUGCAUUAUUAUAGUUCAUUAUUAUCAAAAGAAAUUUAUAAUACAUUAUUAUGAUAUAAAUGUAUUAACUAUAUCUGUAAAAAAAAUUAAAAUGAUUAAACCUAUAUAUAAAAAUUAAACUAAAUUUUUUUUAAGGUUGUUUUAUAUAAAAAAAAAAUUAAAGUUUUUCUUUAAUAAUUUCAAAACAUAACAACUAGAAUAUAAACCAUCUAAAAUUUCUAAUAUUCAUUUCACUAUAAUGUGUAACACUGCUUUCAUAAAAUCUAAAAAAACUACAUUUAUAUAUUCCACUAAAUUGUAAAUAACUUUGCUUAAUGAAAAAUUAAUAAUUCAUAUUUGACCUUGUUUUAAAAUUAUAAUUCAAUUUUUUUUAUGAUAAUGCUUAAAAUAAAAUGACCAUAUAUUAUAACUUUCAAAUAGACAUACAAAUGCUUCAAAUUCUUUUCUAAAAUAUAAUUUUUAAUCAUAUCAACAACCACAUAUUUACCAAAUUAAAUUCAAAUCUGAGCUUAAAUCAAAUCUGAGCUUAAAUUCAAAUUAAAUUAAAUUAUAAAAAAUAUUAUGAUAAUGCUUAAAUUAAAUCUGAGCCAUGACUUAUUUUAUUGACAAAUAAUCAUCUAACUUGCCACAUCAAUUAAAAUCUGAUGUGGCACUCUUUAAAAUAUAACCAUCUAAAUUUUUUAAUAUUCAUUUCACUGUUUCACUCUAAUGUGUAACCCACCAUUCAUAAAAUCUAAAAAAAACUACAUUCAUCUAUUCCACUUAAAUUGUAAAUAACUUUGUCUACUGAAAAAAUAAUAAUUCAUAUUUAACCAUUUUAAAACUAUAAUACAAAUUUUUAAGCUUAAACUAAAAUGGACAUAAUAUAUUAAAUCUAAGCUGCGAUUUAUUUUAUUGAAAAAUCAUGAUUUAACUGGCCAGACCAAUUAAAAAUUGAUAUGGCACUCUUCAAAAUAUAACCAUCUAAAACUUCUAAUAUUCAUUUCACUAUAAUGUGCAAUCCUCCAUUCAUAAAAUCUUUAAAAAACUACAUUUAUAUAUUCCCCUAAAUUUUAAAUAACUUUGUUUAAUGAAAAAUAAUAAUUCAUAUUUAUCCAUUUUAAAACUAUAAUACAAUUUUUUUUUAUGAUAAUGCUUAAAAUAAAAUGGCCAUAUAUUGUUUUUAAGUUUAGUUAUAACUUUCAAAUAGACAUACGAAUGCUUCAAAUUCUUUUAUUAAAUAUAAUUUUUAAUUAUAUAAACAAUUACAUUUUACAAAAUUAAAUUCAAAAUAAAAAAUUAGACAAUCACUUUUUCAACUACAAUAUAAAAUCCUUGACAUAUAAAUUUUCUAUUAUAUAUUAAAAAACUACAUUUAUAUAUUCCACUAAAAUUGUAAAUAUUUUUUUAAUGAAAGAAUAAUAAUUAUUAUUUAACCAUUUUAAAAUUAUAGGACAAAAAAUAUUAUGACAAUGCUUAAAAUAAAAUGAAUAUACAAUAUUUUCACUUUUAAUUAUAAUUUUCAAAUAGAUAUACAAAUGAUUCAAAUUCUUUAUAAAAUAUAACUUUUAAUUAUAUCUAAAAUUACAUGUUAAAAAUUUAAAUUCAAAAUAAAAAAUUGUGCAAUUAUUUUUUCAGCUAGAGUAUAUAAUCCUUUACAUAUAAAUUUUCUACAAUAUAUUAAUAAAUUAAACUUAUUUAAUAUUAUAAAAAAUUUAAUCGAUGUAAAUAAUUUGUAUAUAUGUUAAAAGUAAAUGACAUAGUCAAAUACAUACAAAAACAAUAUCAUUGUAAUUGGUUUAAAACUCAUACUCAAAUUUUUCUAUAACUAUUUAAAUAUAUUAGAAUAUUGAGAGUUUCAUUUUAAAUUUUAAUAUUAACCAUGAUGAUUAUUUUAAUGAUGUUUGAAUUUUAAAAUUUAAAUUGUCUUCUAUCCACAAAAUGAUGACGAAAUAUUCUCAGGGAGUAUAAAAGAAUAUAUUAUCUAUCUAUUAUAAUAUAUUAAAUUUGAGUCACAAUUUAUUUUAUUAACAAAUCAUCAUCUAAUUUGCCAUAUCAACUAAGAUCUGACGUGGCACUCUUCAAAAUAUAACUAUCUAAUUUUUUUUAAUAUUCAUUCCACUAAAUUAUAAAUAACUUUGUAUAAUGAAAAAAUAAUAAUUCAUAUUUAACCAUUUGAAAACUAUAGUAUAAAGAAUCCUAUGACAAUGCUUAAAAUAAAAUGGUCUUAAAAUAAAAUGGUCAUAUGAUGUUUUUAAGUUUAUCUAUAACUUUCAAAUAGACAUACAAAAGCUUCAAAAAAAUUUCAAAAAUAUAAUUUUUAAUUAUAUCAACAAUUACGUAUUACAAAAUUAAUUUCAAAAUAAAAAAUUAGACAAUCACUUUUUCAGCUACAAUAUAUAAUCCUUGACAUAUAAAUUUUCUACUAUAUAUUAAAAAACUACAUUUAUAUAUUCCACUAAAAUUGUAAAUAUUUUUUUUAAUGAAAGAAUAAUUAUUAUUAUUUAACCGUUAUAAAAUUAUAGUACAAAAAAUAUUAUGACAAUGCUUAAAAUAAAAUGACUAUACAAUAUUUUCAAGUUUAAUAAUAAUUUUCAAAUAGAUCUACAAAUGAUUCAAAUUUUUAAUUAUAUCUACAAAUUUAAAUUCAAACUAAAAAAUUGGGCAAUUAUUUUUCCAGCUACAAUAUAUAAUCCUUUACAUAUGACUUUUCUACAAUAUAUUAAUAAAUUAUAUUUAUUUAAAAUUAUAAAAAAUUUAAUUGAAUUAAAUAAUUUGUAUAUAUGUUAAAAGUAAAUGAGAUAGUCAAAUACAUACAAAAACAAUAUCAUUGUAAUUGGUUUAAAACGCAUACUCAAUUUUUUUUAUAACUACUUAAACAUAUUAGAAUAUUGAGAGUUUCAUUUUAAAUUUUAAUAUUAACCAUGAUAAUUAUUUUAAUGAUGUUUGAAUUUUAAAAUUUAAAUUGUCUUCCAUCCAAUAAAUGAUGAAGAAAUAUUCUCAGAGAGUAUAAAAGAAUAUAUUAUCUAUCUAUUAUAAUAUAUUAAAUUUGAGCCGCAAUUUAUUUUAUUCACAAAUCAUAUCUAGCUUGCCACAUCAACUAAAAUGCCAUGUGGCACUCUUCAAAAUAUAACCUUCUAAAAUUUCUAAUAUUCAUUCCACUAAAUUAUAAAUAACUUUGUUUAAUAAAAAAAUAAUAAUUCAUAUUUAACCAUUUGAAAACUAUAGUAUAAAGAAUCUUAUGACAAUGCUUAAAAUAAAAUGGUGAUAUGAUGUUUUUACGUUUAUAUGUAACUUUCAAAUAGACAUACAAAUGCUUCAAAAAAAAUCUUAAAUAUAAUUUUUAAUUAUAGCAACAAUUAUAUAUUACAAAAUUAAUUUAAAAAAAAUUAGACAAUCAUUUUUUCAGCUACAAUAUAUAGUCCUUGACAUUGAAAUUUUCUACUAUAUUUUUAAAAAAUACAUUUAUAUAUUCCACUAAAAUUGGAAAUAAUUUUUUUUAAUCAAAGAAUAAUAAUUCAUAUUUAACCGUUUUAAACUUAUAGUACAAAAAUAUUAUGACAAUGCUUAAAUAAAAUGACUAUACAAGAUUUUACAGUUUAAAAUUGAUAUACAAAUGAUCCAAAUUCUUUCUUAAAUAUAAUUUUUAAUUAUAUCUACAAUUACAUGUCACAAAUUUAAAUUCAAAAUAAAAAUUUAGACAAUUAUUUAUUUUAGAUACAAUAUAUAAUCUUUUUCAUAUAACAUUUCUACAAAAUAUUAAUAAAUUAUAUUUAUUUAAUAUUAUAAAAAAAUUUAAUUGAAUUAACUAAUUUGUAUAUAUGUUAAAAGUAAAUGACUUACUCAAACACACACAAAAACAAUAUCAUUGCACUUGAUUUAAAAUUCAUACUCAAUUUUCCUAUAACUACUCAAACAUAUUAGAAUAUCGAGAGUUUCAUUUUAAAUUUUCAUAUUAACCUUGAUGAUUAUUUUAAUGAUGUUUGGAUUUUAAAAUUAUGUUGUCUUCAAUCCCCAAAAUAAUGAAGAAAUAUUCUUAGAGUAUAAUUAACAAAAUUUUAUGCACUUAUUUUACAUUUUCAAUUUUAAUUUUAAUAUUUUAUCUUAUAUUUAUAUGAUUCUAACAUAUUUAUUAUUCACUAAGAAAUUUAUUAUUUUUAUAUUCUCUUCAUUCUAUUGUCUUGAUAACAAAACAUUUAUACUAGAAAAAUAUUGUGCAUCACAUAAUACAUAUGUAAACAACUUAAAAUGAAUAUCCAAAUAAGAUACAUGUAUAAAAAAGAAAUGAGAAAGAAAAUUAAAAAUAAACCACAACUUAUAUCUUUUAUAAUUACUUAAAUUUGUAAAAAAAUUAUAUUUUCCUUUUUAUUUGUCAUUAAUUCAUAUUGUUGUUUAAUAUAUAUAUAUAUAUAUAUAUAAUAUAUAUAUAUAUAUAUAUAUAUAUUAUAUAUAUAUAUAUAUAUUAUUAUAUAUAAUAUAUAUAUAUAUAUAAAUAUAUCAUAUAUAUAUAUAUAUACUGCAUCACAUGAUAUAUAUAUAUAUAUGUAAACAACUUAAAAUAAAUAUCUAAAUAAGAUACAUGUAUAAAAAAGAAAUGAGAAUGACAAUAAAAAUAAACCACCAAUUAUAUCUUUUAUAAUUAAUUAAAUUUGUAAAAUUAAAUUUUCUAUGUCACUCUCAACUGACUGACAUAUAUUUUUCUUUUUACUUUUCGUUAAUUCAUAUUAUUGCUCAAAAAAAAAUAUUGAAUAUAUUUUUCAAAAAAAAUUUACAAUACACUUUUAUAAUAUAAAAGUAUUGACUAUAUCGGUAAAAAAAAAUUGACUACAUCGGUAAAAAAACUUAAAUAAUAAAAACUCAAUAUAAAAAGAAAAACUAAUCAACACCCGCGCAUCGUGCGGGUCACAAUCUAGUUUAAAUUUAAAUUGAAAAAUAAAAGAAUUUUAUAGCCAGUUUAUAACAUAAAUCAUGUUAAUAAAUUCAUAUCGAUUCUUAAUCGAUUUAUAAGUAAAAACAUCUUAUAAACCUAUUUCAUUUUAAUUGACGGUGUGUUAUAGGGUUUUUAAGUAGUUAGGGUGGCUGGUUGCUCUACCCAAGGAUCCUAGGAUUCUCUUCUAAUUGUUUUUCUCUUUAGGAGAUAAAACUAAGAUUACAAAGGAUAUGUUUUUAUGAUUUGAGAUGUAGUUGUUUGCACUAUUUAUAAUGUACCACUACUACGUAAAAGGCAUUUCACAAUGGUUAAAAAGGGCAUACCACCACGCGUGAUCAAUCAUUGUGAAGUAGAGGGUGGUUGUAUAUAUAUGAUGUUUUUCAUCAUAUCCGUGCGUCCGUGAUUAUACGCUAUGUAGCACACUACCUAUCACAAUAGUUACUUUAAACAACUUUUAUAAUAUUCUUAACACAUAAUAAUUAACAACUGUUUGUAUAAACAACUGUUGUGAUAUAUAUACUGAGUUUUUUUAUAAAUCAUGUAGAAUGCUUAUUUUGCCAAUGCUAACUAAACAUAUCUUAGAAGAACAAGUUCAUGUUCAAUAUUAGAAAAAAGUUCUUCAACUAAGUUAUCCGUAUUUUUCUAUUUAAUAUUUAGAAAUUUGUUUAAUGCUCAUAAUUUUUCCACCUCCCAUUCCUUCACCUCUAAUUCAUUUUGCAAAACAUUAUUUACUUUGAAAUCAAAAUUAAAGGUGGAGAAAGGGGCGGUGGAAGAACUACAAACAUUAAAUAAAUUUCUAACGGAUAAAGAAAGAAAUGCAGAUAACGGGCUGAAGAAUUCAUGUCAAAAAUUGAACGUGUACUUGUUUUCUACUAUAACUUUAUCUAUCAUAUUUUAAUUUUUUUAAUGAAAUCUGAAAAGUUAUAUAUUCAGUAAGGGGUUAGAAAAACACUCAAACCAUAUAAUAUAUAAUAGACUUAUCUUUUAAAUAAAAAUUAACAACAAUAUUCAUCAACAAGAUACAACAAACAUAUCAAAUCAUAAAAUAUUUCAGAAACAUAUUUGUCUCAUAAUGAAAUCCACAAUGAAAGAAGGAUGAAACUUAAGAGAGAGAUGCAAACUUAUGUUAAUUUUGAAGGGAUGAUAUUCUGGGUCUUUUACACAAGUUUGUAGCACUCACUUUAGCUUCAUCCUUGUUAUUGAAACAAGCAUCCUAACCUACAAGUCAAAACAAGGAGAAAGUUCAAACAUUAUAAAACAAGCUAUUCAAACAUAAACAAUAAUACAUCAACAUGAGUAGAUUUUGAAACAAAACAACAUCAACAACAACAUCAUUAUCAACCACAAUAAUAUCAAUAAGAACAAGAACAACAAAAACAACGACAAGAAGAACAACAAACAACAACAAUAGUAACAACGACAACACCAACAAAAAACAACAACAAUAACAAACAACAACAACAACAACAAUAACAACAGUAACAACGACAACACCAACAAGAAAAACAACAACAACAACACCAAAUAGAAUGAAUAAGUCUAAAGAAUGAUGUACCUUGAAAUUUCUUCAAUGGUGAUGAAUAUUAGACCUAUACAAAGAAAAAUGGAAGAAAUUGUAUGAAUAACAUGGAAUAACGCAUAUGAAGAAGAAGCAGAAGAAGAAAGAUAAACAAUAAUUAUUGUUGAAAUUGAGUACCUUUUAUUAUUAUGAAGAAGAAACAUUUAUGUGGAAGAAGAAGAAAUGUGUGCGAGAGAUGUUAGGGUUUUAUUUAGAGAGAGACAAUUGUUCUCUGCUGAAAUGAGAUAACUUUGCUUAUAAAUAAGUAACACCUUUUACCACGAUUGAUACUAAAAAUUGUGAUGAAAUGUAAGUAGUUGUCACAAUGGUGUCUCGUAUUAACCGUGGUGAUAUGUAUUUUAAUUUUAAAAUAUAUACAAAAGUACUAGUACAAGCUAUUUUACUAACGAAAAAAUAGAAAUUUUUUGGUGCUGGAAUUCGAAGUAUGUAACAUUUUAUCUAUCACCACAAUUUGUAUAACUAACCCUGAUGAAAAGUCUUGUAAUAAAAAAAAUUUAGGAGCGUAAAUAUUAUUUAUUGUUAUGGUUGACUAAACGACCAUAGUAAUAUAGUGUUACCAAAGGUAUAUUUUAUAAUAGUUAUGAUAACAUUAAGUUUUGAUAGUAUGUGUCAAUGCUAACCCCCAACAAGAACACAUAUAACACCAUGAUCAAGAUGAAUACACCAGUAUUUGGACAAUUACAUAUAACCAGAACAAAAGAGAAUUUAGCUAAUCUCACUCAAAGAAGCUUUACAAUGAUGAUCAAGAAGAAAGAUAUUGAAUAAUAUCAUUGGCUAUUUCUAUGACCAGACAGAGCUUCCACCUUAGAACUUCAAUACCUCUCUUGGGAUUUUUCAUCUCAAUUCUAUAUAAAUUCUCUUUGUUCUAUUUUCACUUUUGUAAUUGAAUGCCCCAAUUAGAAUGGAUAUGACCACUAUUUAUAGAAGCUUGAGGAGACAUUUUAUUCCAACGAGGUUAUUAGCUCGCCAAGCGAGCCCGCUUUUGUUCAUUAGUAAGUCAUAUCCAACUUAUCCAUGUGGACUUUGGUAACCUUAUUUCUCCAAGCGAGCCUUUCUUUUUGCCCAACGAGAAAACAUUUUCUUCAUCUUGAAGUAACUUAGCCAAGUGGUCUUUAAAUCAUCUUUUUGGCCCAUCGAGUUUGUCCUUUCGCCCAGCGAGAAAACCUAGAUUCUCCAUGAAGUAACUUGGCUUGGAAGUCAUCUUAACUGCCUACAUUUUCUCGGCGGGCCUAUGUAUUUUCCUGGCGAGAAUGUCUCAGAAAGGAUCUGAAGUUUGUGUCGUGUCUUUGUUGGAAGAGCCUCUUCUUCGCGCAAUGAUACCUCAUAUACUUAGCUUCUAUAUUUUAUUACUUCCUUGAAUAUUUUCACUUGUGCUAAUGAAUAGAGCAUAGUUAUAAUAUCCAUACAUAUGUUGUAUCUCCUUUAUAUGACACACUAGGGGAUUUUCAUAUGAUUUCUUAUGAUAUAAGUUAAUAAGUGUUUAUGUGAAACAAUUUUUUUUGCACUUAUAGACUCUCCCAAACUUAAAUAUUUUUUCCUCAACAAAAUUCAUACAAAUGUCAAAUGAUUCUAAUAAUUCUAUCAUGCAUAAUUCAUUUAUAUUUUAUGAUUAAUUAGAACAUUUAGGAACAAACUAAUGUAUUUUGGCAUGAUUCAUUUAAUUGAAAAUUCAAAAUCAUUAUCACAACCAUCCAUAAAUCAUAUCAUAAAUAUGAAAAUCUUGUUUAAUCAAACUAUGAUUUCAAUCCAAGUUUAUAUAAACAGUCAAUUUUCAUCAUAAUCAUAAUAUCACUAAAUAUCACUCAAUCGGGUGGUGUUUCCUUUAAUUUUAAAAAAUGCAUACACUACAAAUAAAUUUUUUAUUUCAUCUAAGCAAUAUCAUAAAACAUGUAAGCAAACAUGAAUCACUAAGGUCUUUAUCAGGAUUGUAACGUGGUUUGGCUACAAGGAAUGUUGGUUUUUAUUUGGAUUCAAAGGUGCCUUUUAAAGAUAUAAGAGCAUAAAUUGUUAUAUUGUUUUAAAAAAUUCUCUUUAUUUUUUCACUUUUAACUUCCUUUGGUGAUUUUUGUUUUGUUUUGUUUUCUUUUAUAUUUGUUUGUUUCUUUUAUUUUUUAUUUUUCAUUGCUUUGUCAAAAUACAUUCAUUAUUUCUUUUUCUUUUGAUCAACAAUGCCAACAUACUUUGUUUCUUUCUCAUCAAGCCUUCCCCCAACUUUUCAUAUUUAAAAUUAUUGAUAUCCUAUCAUGAAGAUAAUAGAAUGAAAAUUGUUUUUCUUUUCAAUGACUAAGGGUUAUAAUAUGUCAAAAUCAAAAACAAAAUUCACAAUUUGGCUCAAAGGUUUCUUUUCAAAGGAUCACUUUCUUGCUAGGUAAGCUUUAUUUGGUCAAGUAGCUUUCACUCAAUAAAGAAAAAUUGUCUUACUCAUGUUGAUGACUUCAUACAAUCAAGUGAUAGCAAGAACUAUGAAAAAUUAACAGGGUUAUAUGCAUGUCUACUUUCAAUAUAUAUGUAAAAUAUGAGGUUGCACACAAUUCACAAGUCAGUUUUGUAACGAUUCUGAUAUUAAUCUACAUGUUUUCACCACACAUGUGAAAUCUAAUGUUAAUCAAGAAAUAAUCUUAUUUUCAUGCUAUCAUUAAUAGAUAAUCAUAAAAAUUAAUCUUGAAUAAAACAUUUAAAAAUAACCUUUAAUCAUGUAGUUUGUUCUUAUUUUGUCAUGUAUAUAUACUUCUGAAUUCCUACGCAUCUCACUAUUCAACCAUUAAAUCAUCUUGAGAUUUGUUUCAAUCCCAAUGUGUUUUAUAUAAAAAAAAUCAAACAAAAUCACAAAAUUUCAAUUUAUCCAAAAAUAAGUCGUGCAUUAGAAUUAGAACUUGAACAUCUUUAAAUCAAUUAAAUAAAGAAAUAGAGAAGUAAAUGUCACAUGUUUUGGCGAGCUUUUAUCCUUAUCUUGUUUUCACUUUCUCCUUCUUGGAAUAGCAUCCCCCUGGAAAAAACUUAUAUGUCUUCAGGCUAUCAUCAAGUGAGUUUGGGGAUUGAAUCAAUAAUAUUCAUACACAAUUUGAAGAUUUCACAAUGUGACUGUAAUUGUUUGUUGGUCAAACUUGUUUAAACUCAGGAACCGAAUUUGAGUGAAGGCUUCACUAAGCUAGUAGAUGAGUUCCCCCAAACAUUUUCAUGCAGAAUUUAAAAACUUUGUGUUUAGUUGUUUUACUUCGAAAAAAUACAAUUUGCAUAAAAGGAAUUCUACAACUAAAAAAUUGAAUUGCCUCCCAAUGAGCGUUUGUUUAACAUCAUUAGCUUGACGCUUGAUUUUUCCUUGAGAGACAUUUAAUGUGUUUAUUGUGGUGUUUUUAUCCAUUUUAACACACAAGUACAGAUUCAGUCUUUGGCCUUUUAUAAUCUAGCUUUCUUUUGAGACCAGGUCUUCUAAUUCCACUGCUCUAUAUGGCUUUACCUUCUUGGUUUUUAAUGGACUAAACCACAUUGAUUUUAAUUUUCCUGAAAAUAGGUUCAGCUUGGAAUUAAAUAAUAGUACCAUUUGUCCUGGUCUAAAAUUUUGUUUGUAUAUUCGCUAGCCAUGAUACUUCUUGACAUUCUCUUUAUACACUCGUGAAGAUUCAUAUGCUUGAUAUCUAAUUUCUUCUAACUCAUGUAGUUGUACUUCCUCUUUUUCCAUGCUUGUGAUUGGUCAAAAUUCAAGAAUUUGAUUGCUCAAUAGGUUUUAUGUUCCAAUUCCAUUAGAAGAUGACACAAUUUACCAUAGAUAAAAAUAAUGAUCAAGUUGAAGAAAUAAGUAAAUACAAUUAAGAUCCACCCAAGAAAUGGAGAACAACAAGGUAUCAUCCAAUCCAAAAUCUAAUAGGAAACAUUUCUUAAGGGGUAACUACUAAACCCUCCCUUACGCAAAUAUGUAAUUUUAGGGCUUUUGAUUCCUGAAUUGAGCAAAAAAAUAUUAACAAAGCUCUCAUUAGUGAAAAUUAAUCUUUUGUUAUGCGGGAAGAUUUAAAUCAUUUUGAGAGAAAUAAUAUUUGGGAACUUGUUUCCAUACCUAAAUAUAACCUAGUGAUUGGGAUCAAAUGGGUCUUUCGUAACAAACAUGAUGAAAAUGACUUUGUAUUAAAAAGUAAAGCAAUGCUUAUUGCAAAAAUUUACAAUCAACAAGUAGUCAUAGAUUUCUAUGAAACAUAUGAUUAUGUAUCUAGAUUAAAAUCCAUAAGGAUGCUUUUAGAUUUUUUUAUGAAUUUUAAAUUUCAAACACUUCCAAAUAGAUAUAAAUAGCGCGUUCUUGAACAAUAAAAUUUAAGAGGGGGCGUAUGUUAAUUAACCACAUGGAUUUCAAAGCUUAUCUUCUCAUAAUCAUGUACUCAAUCUGAAAAAGACUCUCUACAGUUUAAAUCUGCUUGAAAAGUGUAAUAUCCCAUAUUCCCUUAAAUGCUCAAUUAGUUGUCAGUUGAGACCAAUUGAGUUCCUAUGUACUCUAUCUAUUAUCAAUUGUAGCAAUUUGAGCUCAUAUGUGCUUUAAAUGUUGUCAAUCGGGACCAAUAGAGUAACCAGCAAAUUCUGAAGAGAUUAAGUAUUAAUAAAAGAGACAGACCAAUAUUAAUAAGUACAAAAGAAGACAUUUUUGGUAACAUUAAUAAUUGGUCAAUUGAUACUGGAAGAUAAAAUAUCAAUUGAGAUAUUUUAUAUCACUACCUAAUAUAUAUAUAUAUAUAUAUAUAUAUAUAUAUAUAUAAUAUAUAUAUAUAUAUAUAUAUAUAAUAUAUAUAUAUAUAUAAUAUAUAUAUAAUAUAUAUAUAUAUAUAUAUAUAUUAUAUUAUAUAUAUAUAUAUAUAUAUAUAUAUAUAUAUAUAUUAUGUUAUGUUAUACACAUGUGUGGUGGAUAAGAAGAAAGAAAAAGAAAGGAUAAGAAUGAGAAGUAAGAGUUAUCAGAAAGAAAGAAGAGAAAGAAAGAGGAAAAGAGGAAGAGGAAGAAGAGAAGAAAAGGAAGAAAAAGAAGAAGGAAAGCUUGGAACCAACACCAUCAUCUUCAUCCUUAUCUCAUCUUCAACAACUUCUCCUCUUCAAUUUCUUGAGGUGGAUUCUAGUUAGAAAUCCUAGAUUUUUAGAGGAUUAGGGUUGUAGAAACAUAGAUAAAUCAUGAAUAAUUCAUGCUAUGUGAUGAAUAUUCCUCUUGAUGUUGUUGUGUUUAUGAACAUGUGUUUGUUAUGUUCUUUGUGAUUAUUGUUAUAACAUGAUUUGUUAUGGUUGUGGUAAAAUGAUUGGUUAUAAUUAUGACCUUGAAAUCCUUGUGAUUGUGAGCUUGGAAUCUUUGAUUUAUAUGUGUAUAAGAACAUGUAGUAUGAUGGGUUUUGUUGGAAGAAGAAGUGGUAUUUUGUUAGAAAUGGUAUAAUAGAGGAAAAUGGUGUUUGUGAAAUGGAAUGUGAAAAUGUGAGUGGACCAAUCGAUUGGUCUCUAUCAUCAAUCGAUUGACAACCCUUUGUUUUGCAGAAAACAUGUAAUUUUAGCAGGACCAAUCGAUUGACACUGCAUUACAAUCAAUUUCACAAACUUGCUGUAUAUGAACAGUGAGAAAUUUUCAGUGAGCCAAUCGAUUGACACUCAGGAUCAAUCGAUUGAUCCUCAACAAACUUUGAAAAACAGAAAUGUGAGAGGAACCAAUCGAUUGGGCUUCCUAAACCAAUCGAUUGACUUAUGUUAAAAACUUCAAAAUCCAUUUCGUAAGUGUUUCUAAAUGCAUUCUUCCAACCAUUAAUCAAUUGUGAUGAUAUGCUUAUGUUGAAUACAUGUUAAUGGUGAAAAUUACAUGAUGAAUCUAGUGAGUUAACGUAGGAUUGAAAUUAGGUCAUGAGUUAGGUUUACAACCUAGAUAAUAUGAGAAAACAAUAUUCAUUCGUACGACGUUUAUGUGGAGGUCAUGGACGAAUUGUUGCCUUGAUUAAGAAUGAGACGCAUUGAAUGGAACAUUCCAUGUUAUUAAUUGUGUAUUAUGGUGAAGGAAGUCACCUAUGUUUGACGGAUUUUGUUAUGGUUUGUGGAACCAAUGUUUUUGUGGAACCGAUCAUAUAUUCAGAAUGUGUAUUUUCUGUGACGUGCACAUCUCUAUUUGGUAUGCUUAGAUGAGUAAGCAUUGGGAUGUGAGACUGAUGGUUCGAGCCUCAAUUGGGUUUGAGCCCCAACCACGGCGAACGUGGGGGAAAGGUGGACACCUAAAUGGGUUGGAUUCCCAUACGGUGAAAGAGACCCUAAGUGGGUUAAAUUCCCUUACUGGUGACGGUCACUUGAACUGGGGAUUAAGCCUUAUAGAGGACCCGAUGUCCACCGUGAAAGUCGAAUCAUACGAGCAUGCAUGAACCGGGCCUUGCUUAGACGUAAGUCCGUUCAAGAAUUGAUGUUUCGUAAUCUGAAUAAUGAUCGUGGUUGAGUUGUGAGAACUCAGGUGCAUGUUGCCACAUUGCGAGUUAGUUUCCCCAUCGCUCAAGUCUUCAUUCCCUUGUUGACUUGAGUUGAGUAUGAGUUGAAUAUUGAUUAGAAAAACCUGUAGAGCCGAGUGGACCCAUAAGAUAGGGAACCCGCUCAGAUUAUUAUCUCACCCCAUUAUUGUUGUUAUUUUUCAAGUAUUCCUUGCAGGUUGAAUCUAAGAGAAGUUGUCUAUGGAUGUUUCAAGGGACACAAUUAUUCUGAUCUUCCUCUGUGGAGUCGUGUGCAAUGAAGACAUUGCACAUAGUUCUUAGAUUUUUUAUUGUUUAGGAGCUAUUGUACAUCAUGUUCCAUUGAUGUCUUUAGUUUGGACAUGUGUAACUAUUGAUGCCAUUAGGCCCUUAUGUUGGAUCAGUAGCAAUUAAUAACACUUGUAUGAUAUUAUUCUAGAUAUAUAUUAUACGGGUUGUUACAGUUGGUAUUAGAGCCUGGUCGAUUCUCGACCUAGCCUUGAAACAUCAUAAGUAAAUCUAUUCCUGCCUCAUAUGUGUGUUUAGUCGACAUGAUUCUUAAUAUCAUUGUAUGUAUUAUUGGGCCUGAUCAACUUGAUGCUAUGUGCAUGGUAGGUAGGAUCAUGUUUGAGCGACCACGAGGACUCCGAAGUGUGGGUGGAACUUGGGCUUUGAAGGUAAGCUCAAGCCAAGAGUUAGAAAGUAAGGAGAACCGGAUAACCCAGUUGAAGUUUCAGAGGAGUCGUAAUUCGGGUAUUAUGGAAUUGAAGAGUAGUGUAUCGUUCAAGCAAUUCUGCAGCGUUAACGGGGUUAAGAAGUUGAGGAAUUUUAUCGGAUGAGUUUGUCAGAAUUUUGAGGAAUAAGUGAAUUUUCUAGUGGAAUAAGAUAUACCCACUGAUAUGGAAUAAAUAUUGUAAGUAAUUCCGUAUGGUCAAGGAGAAAGGAUGGUUAUGUCACAUAUUUCAUACGUCUGGAAGUGAGGUAGUGUAUAAGUGUUUCAGUUUCUAAGGCCACUAAAAUAUUUUGGAAGAACGAGAGUACUUCAUGGAGUAUAUAUUUGGGAUGGUACCUUGCAAGUGGCUGAGGACUUGAGAGUUAAGGACAUUAGGUUUUGUUGGGAGCCUAAGGUAUUGGUGAAGUCUAAGGAGAGACUCGAGGACAUGGCUGCCUAUUCCAAGUGAAACAUGUAUGGACCAAAUGAAGGUUAGAAGAUAAAUCAAGUAUAUUCAGUCUUAGAAGGGACAUCAGAUUCAUGAUAGCUCGUCAAAGGUUUAGUGUUGGUGAGAAACUGUUAUGGAAUGUUAAGUUACCUAAGGAUCAAUUAUAAGGGUUUGUGACGAAGAGAGAAUAAGCAUUAUAUAACAACGGAAGCUCUAGUAGGAUGGGUUGAAGGAGUUUUGUGUUGAGGAAAAUAAUAAGUAAUUGGAUUUCAGGAGUUAUAGUAGAAUGGUUAUGUAAUUGGAAUUGAGAGAAUUACUAUAGGAAGAUAAGCGAACACAGAGUGUGGAAGUAGUGUGGAUGUUGCAUUACAACUGUUGUAAUGGGGUACAUUUUAGAUAAAGGUACAAUGGGAUCAUAAAAAUUCAUCAAGGCUAAGUUAUGGGCGUGUAGUUGAUGAUCAUUCACAUCAAAGGUUUUAAGAGUAUUUAGUGGAGUGGAGGAAGUUAUACCUAGGUAUUAAGAGAAGUAUGUGUUGGCGACAUUAUGGUCACAAGUGUGUGUAAUGGAUUCCUUAUCUUGAGAUGGAUGUAAAGUAAUACACACUUUGUUGAGUAAUGAGUCUUAUGUUCUGAGAAAUUGAGAGUAUGUUAGACAAUGAAAGACAAACUAAUCUUGAAUACGGAGCUAAGUGUGGAACGUGAAACAAACUAUGUCGUGGGGACUUAUAAGGAGGCGAUAAGGUUUGUCAAUAGCAGGUCAUCUAGAUAAGUGGCUUCUGUGUGAUAAAAUGUUCAAUAGAUAUUGGUAUGGAAGAUAAUCCAAGUCAAUAAAUAUGUGGUAAUGUCAAGGUACACCUUGAGUGCAUAUUAUUUUGGUUGUCAAGAGCGGGAGAACUGUCUGUAUAUGUGAAUGGUCAGAGCAUUCCAAAUCUAUCUUUUGUUGGAUAAGAAAAGUUAUUGUCUUGAUCCUCACCAAGAAAUCAAUUGAGGGAAUGAGGUGGUAUGCUUAACAUGGGUUGUUCAUGUUUUCCCCUUGAUGAUGUGUUGACUAUUGUGUCAUUGUGGGAUUAAUAUUAAGUUAUGAAUUAUGUUGUGACACUACACCUAUGUAUGCAAACCUCACGGUGGAGAACUUGUGGAGAUGAUCCAUGAAGUUGAGAUUGUGCUCUUGCUGCAUUGUUCUUGUUGUUCUAAUGUAUUUCCAUGAUUGAAUUCCAUGAGGAUAAUAAAGAAGUGGUGAACCAGGGUUGUAAUUCUCGUGCAAUGUGGAAUUCGUGGAGAUGUGUGUGGGUAUUUGAGGAAGUGAUUGCAUAUGGUUUAUAAUAGAGUCUUAUUGGUUAGUAGUUGUUGUUGACAGUAUCCUUAUCGGUUAUCAUACUCCAUAAGAGAUUGAGGAAUAUCCAAGGAUUUGUCAUACUAGUCUUAUGAGAGAGGAAACUUCUAACAAAGUUUAAUAAGUCUGAGUCGUCAUGACCACAUUGGAGUUCUUAGUCAGGUGAUCUCAAGAGAUCAGUUCAGUAUCUUAUAAGUGAAAGUAACGUGUCAGUGGUUAGACAUGUUACUAAUAUGUACGACUUCAGAAGAAGACCUGCCAGGGAAGUGGUAUCGAAUAUACACAAUGCUACUAUACUAUGUCGGCAUGAUGUGUAAAUUAUUCUCCCAGGAGAAAGGAUGGAAAUAAGAUAUCCAUAAGUGUAAGUGUGUAACUUGGAUUGUAUAUUCGUAAGAACACGAGCUAAGGUUCCCAUGAGAUAAAGCAAGACGAUAAGAAGGAAUAAUUAUUGUCAGGUAGUGGGAUGUCUCCCUAAGAUGUGUGAUUGAGUUGUGGGACUCUAUGAGUAUUAUGGAAGCUCACAAUUAUAGACUAGUUUUCUUAAGAUUCCUUAGAAACGGUGUCUCGUUAAUGACUUGAAGUUCCUUGAUGGUGUUAUUUUGUUAUUGGUCGAGAUCAUGUGUCAGCAGAAAUCAUGAAUGAAUCAGAACCAUAUAAGAGGAUCCGAUAUGGAAUAUAGUAACCAGGACCGUAUAUUGUCAAACUAAUUUGGAUAAGUUCAUUUGAGCACAUGAUAAACCUGAGCGUCAUACACCUUCAUGGUUGUAGUCGCGUGGCUCAUAUAUAUAUAUACAUCUUAUGGAGGAUGUUGGUCACAUUUGGAACCUUUGUGUGUCAGUGAGAAAUUUGUUCUACUAAUGGAAGUCAGAGAGGUCCUAGUACUAUUUUGGGUGGUGGGCACUCUGGAGGAUAGGCGUGAUCUUCUAUGUAGACUGUUAGCUAAAUAGUGGUGCUUAGGAAUCCCAGGUGUUCCACUGUUGGAAUCGGAGUAUCAAAAUCGAAGGUGAUGGAGGAAAGGGCUCAAUCAAGAUUAUGGGAAUCAGGGAGAUAGUUACUCAUAAGAGAGGGAGUAAGACAAACUCAUGCUAAUGGUGUCAUCUUAUUGGAGUAGUACGAGAGAAGUGAAACAGUAGGAGUAGAGGUUUGCAACAUAUAAUAUCAGAUCAAGUGAAGUUUGUGAGAUUAUCGAUAGAUGGAUUACAAGUUUGUCACAUUUGCUGAAGGAAUGAUAAGAGAAAAGUAGUCAAUAUUGUGUGCGGUCAAGGAAUCAACAAUUUUUCUUAUGGAGAAUUAAUGAGUAUUGAUUAUCCAAGUCAAUAUAAGAUGUCGUAAUUAUGUUUUAUGUAACUUAGUGCAAGGAACGAAAGUCGUGAUUUCCAGGAGGAAAGUGACCAACUGAUAUAGAGCGGUAUAUCAGAUGAAUUAGGUGGGGGCGAGUUUAAAUGUUAAUCCAAUAUUGGAAUAAGGAUAUGGUUAAGAUCGUGAAGUAGUGAGAGUUCACACGAGAAAUAAGCUGCCAAGGUAGAUGAGUCAAAAAGAAUGAAUAUGUCUGAGGUUUGAAUCGAAGAGAAGUCAAGUAUUGACCUAGGGCGGCGAUACAAGAAGAGUUUAUUUGUGGACUGGGAAAAUUCGGGGGCGAAUUUCAAUUUAAGGGGGGGAGAAUGUAAUAUCCCAUAUUCCCUUAAAUGCUAAAUUAGUUGUCAGUUGAGAUCAAUUGAGUUCCUAUGUACUCUAUGUAUUAUCAAUUGUAACAAUUUGAGCUCAUAUGUGCUCUAAAUAUUGUCAAUUGGGACCAAUAGAGUAACCAGCGAACUCUGAAGAGAUUAAUUAUUAAUAAAAGAGACAUACCAAUAUUAAUAAAUACAAGAGAAGACAUAUUUGGUAACAUUAAUAAUUGGUCAAUUGAUAUUGGAAGAUAAAAUAUCAAUUGAGAUAUUUUAUAUCACUACCUAAUAUAAUAUAUAUAUUAUAUAUAUAUAUUUAUAUUAUAUAUUAUAUAUAUAUAUAUAUAUAUAUUAUAUUAUAUAUUAUAUAUAUAUAUAUAUAUAUAUAUAUAUAUAUAUAUUUAUAUAUAUUAUAUAUAUGUUAUACACAUGUGUGGUGGAUAAGAAGAAAGAAAAAGAAAGGAUAAUAAUGAGAAGUAAGAGUUAUCAGAAAGAAAGAGGAAGAAGAAGAAGAAGAAGGAAAGCUUAGAACCAACACCGUCAUUUUCAUCCUCAUCUCAUCUUCAACAACUUCUCCUCUUCAAUUUCUUGAGGGGGGUUCUAGUUAGAAACCCUAGAUUUCUAGAGGAUUAGGGUUGUAAAAACAUAGAUAAAUCAUGAAUAAUCGAUGUUAUGUGAUGAAUAUUCCUCUUAGUGUUGUUGUGUUUAUCAACAUGUGGUUGUUAUGUUCUUUGUGAUUGUUGUGAUAACAUGAUUUGUUAUGGUUGUGGUAAAAUGAUUGGUUGUGAUUGUGACCUUGAAAUCCUUGUGAUUGUGAGCUUGGAAUUAGAUUUAUAUGUGUAUAAGAACAUGUAGUAUGAUGGGUUUUGUUGGAAGAAGAAGUGAUAUUUUGUUAGAAAUGGUAUAACAGAGGAAAAUGGUGUCUGUGAAGUGGAAUGUGAAAAUGUGAGUGGACCAAUCGAUUGGUCUCUGUCAUCAAUCGAUUGACAACCCUUUAUUUUGCAGAAAAAAUGUAAUUUUAGAAGGACCAAUCGAUUGACAUUGCAUUACAAUCGAUUGCACAAACUUGCUGUAUAUGAACAAUGAGAAAUUUUCAGUGAGCCAAUCGAUUGACACUCAGGAUCAAUCGAUUGAUCCUGGGCAAACUUUGAAAAACAGAAAUGUGAGAGGAACCAAUCGAUUGUGCUUCCCCAACCAAUCGAUUGACUUAUGUUAAAAACUUCAAAAUCCAUUUCUUAAGUGUUUCUAAAUGCAUUCUUCCAACCAUUAAUCAAUUGUGAUGAUAUGCUUAUGUUGAAUACAUGAUAAUGGUGAAAAUUACACGAUGAAUCUAGUGACUUAACUUAGGAUUGAAUUUAGGUCAUGAGUUAGGUUUACAACCUAUAUAAUAUGAGGAAACAAUAUUCAUUCGUACGACGCUUAUGUGGAGGUCGUGGAUGAAUUGUUGCCUUGAUUGAAAAUCAGACGCAUUGUAUGGAACAUGCCAUGUUAUUAAUUGUGUAUUGUGGUGAAGGAAGUCACCUAUGAUUGACGGAUUUUGUUAUGGUUUGUGGAACCAAUGUUUUGUGGAAUUAAUCAUAUAUUCAGAAUGUGUAUUUUCUUUGACGAUGCACAUCUCUAUUUGGUAUGCUUAGAUGAGUAAGCAUUGGGAUGUGAGACCGAUGAUUCGAGCCUCAAUUGGGUUUGAGCCCCAACCACGGCGAACGUGGGGGAAAGGUGGACACCUAAAUGGGUUGGAUUCCCAUACGGUGAAAGAGACCCUAAGUGGGUUAAAUUCCCUUACUGGUGACGGUCACUUGAACUGGGGAUUAAGCCUCAUAGAGGACCCGAUAUCCACUGCGAAAGUCGAAUCAUACGAGCAUGCAUGAACAGGGUCUGGCUUAGACGUAAGUACGUUCGGGAAUUGAUGUUUUGUGAUCUAAAUAAUGAUCGUGGUUGAGUUGUGAGAACUCAGGUGCAUGUUGCCAUACAUUGCGAGUUAGUUUCCCAUCGCUCAAGUCUUCGUUCCCUUGUUGACUUGAGUUGAGUAUGAGUUGAAUAUUGAUUAGAAAACUCUGUAGAGCCGAGUGAACCCAUAAGAUAGGGAACCCACUGAGAUUAUUAUCUCACCCCAUUAUUGUUGUUAUUUUUCAGGUAUUCCUUGCAGAUUGAAUCUAAGAGAAGUUGUCUAUGGAUGUUUCAAGGGACGCCGUUAUUCUGAUCUUCCACUGUGAAGUUGUGUGCAAUGAAGAUAUUGCACAUAGUUCUUAGAUUUUGUAUUGUUUAGGCACUAUUGUAUAACAUGUUUCAUUGAUGUCUUUAGUUUGGACAUGUGUAAAUAUUGAUGUCAUUAGGCCCUUAUGUUGGAUCAGUACCAAUUAAUAAAACUUGUAUGAUAUUAUUCUAGAUAUAUAUUAUACGGGUUGUUACAAAAAAAAUUCGAAGAGGGAACUUGUUACCCUUUUUCGAUCUUACAAAAAUAAUUGGGUAGGAUCUUCGGAUCUUAGCUACGAUUUUAUAUUUUACGAUCUUCAUAUUCUCUUCCGAUCUCAUGUAAGAACUCGAUUUUGACAACCUUGCAAACUAUGUAUUACGCACAAUGGUUUGGAGAUUAGGACAAGCUUUUCCAUAGAAGUUAGGAGAAAGUUGUGCAUUGGUAGAAGAAGCUAAUUAGGAUAGAGUUUUUUUUAUCUGCCUAACAGUGUUGUAAUGGCCUGUUGCGUGGAAUAGUUUCAGUAUUCUUAUUUUGAAUAUACAUUUUGAUUAUAAAAAAGAAGAAGAGAAAUAGUAGACUGUAACAAAUAAUUUAGUUUAGUAAAUGUAGCCAUAGAAUCUUGAAGCUAUGGAAUGAAGAAGCAACGUAUAAAAGGAAUAGUAGGCCAGUGUGUGACAGUGCAUGCAUGUGCGAUCGAAGAUAAUAAUUUGUCCAUAUUUUCAAACUUUCUGCUCAAACGCGCUUUAGUUUAUACUUAUUUAAAUUUUGGUAGUAAUGAUUUGUGAGAUAAAAAGGAAUAUGAUAGAAAUAGUAUUGAAAAUUAUUGGCUAAGUUUUCUCAUUUUUAUAGCAUAUGUUUCAGGAAGUUUGAAUGAAGAAAUUGACAUAAUCUUAAGAUGAGGUAAAAUUGUUUUGCUUGUAAGGAAUAUGAUAGAAAUAGUAUUGAAAAUUAUUGGCUAAGUUUUCUCAUUUUUAUAGCAUAUGUUUCAGGAAGUUUGAAUGAAGAAAUUGACAUAAUCUUAAGAUGAGGUAAAAUUGUUUUGCUUGUGUGUUGUGUUGCAUAGCAACUUCAUUUAUAAUAUAUUUAAAUUAUGUUGUUUUGUUGAUAUGGUCACUAUUAUGUAAUAGUUUAUACAUUAGAAUUAGAAUGACGUAAACCUUGAAAUUUACACAGGCCUAUAGAAAAAUUAUAUUAUUUUUAAUGUUAUAAAUAAAUGUUCAAGUUUGUAUACUUUUAUUGCAUAUUUUUAAAUGAGAAAAUAGGUUAAAUAACCCUAUUUUGAAUGAAAAGUGGGGUAAACAUUUUUAAAUUAAAAAAUAGGUUAAAAUAGUCUUACCGGCGGCAGUCAUCUUUUUACCAUAAUCUUUUUAUCCAAAGUAUUAAAGGGAUGCAUGGUUUUAGACUCCAGUUAUUUAUUCUAGAGUUUCUCAACACACUACAACAAAUAACGUUUUUUUAUGAUGAAGUUAACACUUUGCAAAAAACCUAGGCGAUUUUUCAAGUUGAUAUUUAUCAAAACUCCUCCCACAGAUAAUCAUCAAACAUCAUUUUUGCAACAAGUUUGUUCUUCAUUGAAACGACUUAUAUAUCACUUUGUUUUUCACUGAUCAUUUUGUAUAGGGUUUUACAUUAGUUUGUCUUUUGAUCAUUUUGUUUCUACGAUUUUCAAUUUAUUUUUAUUGAAACGUUACUUAGUAUAGUUUCUCUUGAUCAUUUUGAUGUUUAUUUAGAUAGUCAUUUCGUCAACAAAUAUCAUUUUUCAUUAGGUUUGUUCUUCAAUGAAACGAGUUAUAUAUCACUGAAACGAGUUAUAUUUCACCGAAAUGAUUUUAUAUCAUUUUGUUUUUUACUAUUUGUCUCUUGAUCAUUUUUUUUCUACGUAUUUGUCUCUUGAUAGUCAUGGCCGAUUCGACAAGCAGGAGGAACGUGAGAGGAUGACUGAGAGAACGUGUCUGAGAAGUGUAUCCACGAUGUACUUGAGGUAUAAGUCGUAUGUUGUUGUUAUUAUUGUUUCCUUAUUUUAAUUUUGGAUUGUAUUUAUGUUAUUUUUAUGAUGUAAAAAUUGAAUUCGUUGGGUCUAUUAAGCUACAGAAAUUCAAAUCAGUUGGAAAUUCGAGAGAAUGAAGUUUAGAAAGCUACGGGUGGUACAAGAGCGAAAGAAAGUUUUUUUGCCAACCAGGGCAGUAUUGAACCCACACCGUAAAAAGUAGAUAACAUUGAGAGACUAGGAAUGAUCAUUGACAUUAUUCCAGACUCAUGCAUGAGUAUUACAUUAAGUCAUGUUCCAACUCUAUUUUUUUUGUACUUUCUAGGAUUUCUUCCAUGAAUUUUUGUCGGGAAAUGUGUACCUAGACAAUUUUGUAUUACAAAUUUGGUCCUCGUAAGUAUAGUUUUUAUGGUGAUCUCUAUUUAUAUUCAUAUAUUCUUCUACUUUAACAUUAAGAUUUGCACUUGCAGGUACAUCCAUGAGUUAUGUGUUGAAAGAAAACUUCAAAACAAGUAUUGCAUCUUAGAUUCUGCGCACAUUGGUCUUACUUGCGGUUUGACAGGAUACAAUAUCCUUCUUUACUUAAAAGAUAAGUUGGAAGAGAAUAUCAAAGAUUGUUAUUUGGUCCCGUUUUAUCGCAAGAAAGUAUAUAUUGGUUUGUACUUUCAUUUACAAAUAAAUUUUAUGCAUAUGAAUUAUUUUGAAUGUUUAUGUAGUUCGCAUUGGCAACUAAUUGUUACAUGUCCCAAUAUAUAUAAUAUGGUGUGUGGUGGUGUGUGUGUGUGUGUGUGUGUGUGUGUGUGUGUGUGCGUGUGUGUGUGUGUUUUGCUCGUAGCACUUUGAACUGUCCGAAGAAGUGGUUAACGCUUUGAAUCGCUUUGAAUGGGCAAGUGGUAUUAUUUUUAACUUUAGAAUUGAAUAUUUUUUAUUCAUGUUUAAUUUUAACCGACAUGUGUAGAGCGAUGGAGGAGCAUAAUACACUCAAACAUAAUGUACUUGGUAAAAAAGUCAAUCUAUGUUUUCCCAAAAGUAAGUAUAUUACUUGUGCUUUUUGAUAUUAUAUUAUUUGUGUGUAUUAGUGUGGUAUAAAUAUAUGAAAAUUAUUUGUAGUGACGAAAACAAUCCGAAAGUCAUUCAUGUCGAUACUAUGUUAUGAAAUAUAUGCUCUAUUUUGUCUCCACAUGCAGUACAAAUUUAUGGAUGAAGCAUAAGGUAUUAACUUAAUCCAUAUCUUCUUAAGUUCAUAUUAUUGUUAUUAGCGUAUAAUAAUUUAAUUUUUGUUCUAAUUAUAGGAGUUUAACAAUAAAACACCAUACUCAAAAAAAGAUAUGGAUGACAUCCGAUCACAUUGGGUCAGAGUCUUUUUAUCUUCUUAUGAUUCUCUAGAACAAUAGUUUUUUCUUGGUUGUAAAUGUGUAAAUUUGCUUAAUUUAUUUUUUGCAAAUAUGUAAAUGCGUGUAUUUCAUCUUGAUGAUCAGAACAAUGUAAAUUUCUAACGUUGGUUUAAAUGAUAUGAUAUAUUCCAAUUAUGUCGCAUAUUUUCUAAUUUUUGUUUAAAAAAUGAUACUGGCAGGUGUAACUAAGAUUUAAAACAAUUUAAAUCUGAUAUUCAUUGGUUAAUAGAUUUAUAAUAAUAUGAUAUAGGCUAGUGAAAAGGAUACAUAAAAAAUGAUACAUAUCAGUGAAAAUGAUACAAACAAAAAGUGAGAUUUUAUCCCUCGAUUAUUACUUAAACCGAGGUAAAUGAAUAACUUACUACCUCAUCCUUUAAAUACAACUGAGAGGUAUAUGAUGCGUGCAACAAAAUUGAGAAAAUAAAAAAUAUGUACUUGAUAGGGAUCAAACUCAUGACCUUUUAAUUUCUAACCUCGGUUUUAGAAACACUGAGGUGAGAAGUGAUUGCUUAAUGCCGCUCUUCGUUAUCUCGCUUGUGUAGCCAAUGUUAAAUGAAUUUCGUGACUGAUGUUAGAUGUAUUAUUUGUAGUAGUGAGAGUCUUUAAAUCUUCUACAUGUUAAUGUGAAUGAUAUAGAGGUUAGGACAACGGUUUUUUAUAUGGACCCUUAGAAAUCACCUGGACCAGAUGGAUAUCCUGGUGGUUUUUAUGAAAAAUUAUGGGAAGACAUGGGACCGGAUCCUUAUGAUUUUGUGAAAAUAAUAUAGGCUAAUCCAUAUGAGUUUGUUGAGAUUAAUCAAUAACCCAAUAAUAAGUUUGUAACUACAUAAAAUUAUAGCCACAAAAUUUGAAGAUAGAUAGAUAGAUAGAUAGAUAGAUAGAGAGAGAGAGAGAGAGAGAGAGAGAGAGAGAGAGAGAACAAAAACCACAAAUGGUAACGUACUGUAAGACGAAUAGGAUAAAGAUUCCGUUUUCAGAAAUAAUAUUCGUUUCUAAAAAUGAAUGAAGAUGGUGAAGAUUUCACUAUCGUCGUUAUCGUUGUCGUCUCAUUCGCUAGGGCACCCUUGUGUGUUAUGAACGAAAUAAAGUGUCUAUUAUGUUUUUACUAAGUGAAAUGAAUUUCACAACGGUUGCAAGAAAUAACCGUAAUUGUUAUAAUUUCAAUUUUUAAAUUAUAGAAAAUGUUAAUAUCACCCGCUUAUUUUUAUUGAAAAAAUAAAAGAAUAUUGAUAUUGAGAUUCGAAGCUUGUCACCCAAAUUCUAUAAUUACUGUUGAAUUUAGGAACCGUGAUGAAAUAUUUCUUAAUAAAAAAAAUAAUAUACAUAAAAAAUAAGAUAUUACUACGGAGAAAAAAAUAAUCAUGGACAGACAAAUUUGAAAAGUGUGACAAUUAUUCACCUUUCUGACUCUUACAAAUCUCCUUUGUAUGCGUACACCGUCAUACUCACCUAUAUAUAUUGCUUAAUCUUUCAUAUGCUUCUUCAUUCACACUUCACACACUUCCUUUGCUUCUUUCUAUAGUAUUUGUUACCCUCUCUAUUAUGGCUACCUUUAUUAAAUUAUUUGUUACACUCUCUAUUAUUUCACUCUUAACAUCUUCUACCAAUGCACAACUUAUUAAUAACUUCUAUGCUACAACUUGUCCUAGUCUUCAAACAAUUGUUCGUAAUACAAUGAUAAGUGCUAUCAAAACUGAAGCAAGAAUUGGUGCUUCUAUACUUCGUUUGUUCUUCCAUGAUUGCUUUGUGAAUGUGUGAUAAUCUUCAAAAAUCAUUUAUUUAUGCAUUAUUUUUUCUUUAUCUCACAUGUCACGGACUAUAUUUUUCAACAUGUAAGUUUUAUGUUGGUAGGGAUGUGAUGGAUCAAUCUUAUUGGAUGACACUGCGACGUUUACUGGUGAGAAAAGUGCUUGAUACAAUUAAAACCAACGUUGAAGCUUCUUGCAACUUGUGCUGAUAUUCUAGCACUAGCAGCUAGAGAUGGAAUCUUUCUGGUAAGUCACCCAUUUCUUUAUAUUUUAUGUUUUUGGCACAAAAAAAUUAUAGAUGAGUAUAAGUAAAAGUUUAUAAUAUGAUUUAUUUUGUUCCACCUGUUGAUAGAUAGUGGGAGACAUGGUUUGAAAACAAGCUCAUGACAAAAAUGAAAUGAUAGGAUAAAAAUAAACACAUGUUAGAUACUUGAGAAUGACGAGAUAUUGGAAUCUUACUUUAUGAUUUCAAAGCAUUCUUCCACACGUUGUAACAGGAGAGCAUCAAAGCUAGCAAAUACGCUGUAACAGUCUUUGACCGUUAUAGGCAAAAUUUCAGCGUCCAAGAAACAAUGGAUCACAAUCAGGGGAGACCAAAUUUAGCCUAUACUGUUAAACUAAACAGAAGUUGGUGCAAUUGUGGAAAAUUUCAAGCCUUCCGCAUUCCUUGCUCCCAUGUCAUUGCAGCAUGUGCUUAUACUCGUCAAGACGCUUACUGCCAUUUAUCUGAUGUGUACAAGACCGUCACCAUCAUGAAUGUAUAUAAUCAAAGCUUCUCGGUACUACCAAUAGAGGAAUACUGACCUCCAUAUGAAGGUGAUAUAGUUUGGAACAACGACGAGAUGCGUAGAAAGAAAAAGUGAAGGCCAAACAGGACACGUAUCAGGACAGAAAUGGAUUCCACAAAUAAAAUGAUAAGAUUAUGUAGUAUCUAUCGUCAACCAGGACAGAACAAGAACAACUGUCUCAAUCGAGGAGCAUCAUUUGGGUCUUAAACUUUUUGUAACAUUGUAUAUCUGUAACCUUCAAUCAUUAUAUAUCAUUAAGUUUUUGUUACAACGAGGUUCACAACAAACAUCAAUACAAAAUAAGCUAUCUGAAAACAGAAAUAUUUGUAACUGAUUACAACAAUCAAAUUGAUGUCAUCUCGAUCGAACAUCAUUUCCCUAGCAUCCUUAUCAGUCUUCAUUCGCACCCAACCAAAGAUACUGUCGAGUCUCUCAAUACUUCUAAUUUUUUCCCCUUCUGUUAUUUUCCCAUCUAACCAACGAACCAACUCUCUCUUAAGUUGAUCGAACAUAGUGAUGUUCCAGAACAGCAUCAGGAUCUGAGCACUACGCCAAAAAUGACUUUUAACAGCGCAUCUUAGACAACGCUUUUAAAAGAAAGCGCUGUCUAAGGUUAAAAUUAAAAUAAAAUACGGAAAAUGUUCCAAAAAAAUAAUGAAAGCGCUGUCUAAGGGGGGGUCUUAGACAGCGCUUUCUAAAAGCGCUGUCUAAGACCCCCCCUUAGACAACGCUUUUAGAAAGCGCUUUUAAAUAUAGACCUUAGUCAGCGCUUUUGAUAAAGCGCUGUCUAAAGUCUUUAAAUUAAAAAAAAUUAAAACCAAAAGCUAAACAGAAAUUGGUAGGGUUUGUCACGAUGGCGGAAGAACCACAAUACGCCCUAAAAUGCAAAUACGAAGACCAACCCACCGCCACUGACAUUCAACUCGAAGUCGCAAACGCUAAACAGAAAGCCCAAGAAGCCGCCGCUCGGCUCCUCAGUGUCACCGGCGGCGCUCCUCCACUUUCCUUCGAUCCUAAACGUUCCAAGUCCGAUAAUGGUGCUCCUCAAUCUGGCUUCGAUUCUUACAAUUUGAAGCCGCAAUAUUCAGCUGGUUCUUAUGGUGGUUAUAGUAAGAAGAUUGAGAUACCUAAUGGUAGGGUUGGGGUUCUUAUUGUAUGCAGGAGGUGAGACUAUUAAGUAUCUUCAGUUGCAGUCUGGGGCUAAGAUUCAGGUUACUCGUGAUAUGGAUGCGGAUCCUAAUUCUACUACGAGGAUGGUUGAGCUUAUGGGUACUUCUGAUGCUGUAGGCUUCGCUGAGAAACUUCAUCAUGAAUCUUGCUGAGGUUUGUUUUAAAUUUUCUCUAAUUAUGUUGUGAAUCACUGUAACUUUGGCUGUUAGUGAAAUAUCACUGGUUAGAGUUGUUUUCAACUGAUUUUGUAAUGCAAUGUGAAAUGUUUAAUGAUAAAUUUGCUUAAAUAUUAUGGAAUUAGUGGCGCUCUGUAUCCUGCCAGGGAAAUUCACUGAAAAGAGUGGUUUGAAUUGACUUUCUUUGUAAUAUGGGUGUUUUCUGGUUAAUUUGCUCUAGUGAGGUUUGAAUGACUGCAACUGUAACCGCUAGUGAAAUUUGCUGACAGUAUUUGUUUUGAACUGAUUUUGUAACUUUAGUAUGAUUGUUUUGUGCUGAAUUUGUAAAAUGAUCUUCAAAGUCGAAUGGCCUUAACUGUAACCUUUAGUGAAGCGUCAUUGACGAUGGUUUUCUACUGAUUUUUAACUGUAAUAAUCUGGGGGAAAUGUAACCAUUAACAUCACUGAUAAGAGUUGCUCUUUACUAGGCCUGAAGCCGGGGCUUCUGCGGUGGUGGUACUAGACGGAUGGCUGCACAAUCUGGGGGGUGAUGAAUUUUCGAUGCAAAUCCCAAACAAUAAGGUGUGCAAAGUUGCCCGAAUAUGUACACCCAUGUACUUUCUACAGUGUUUGUUUAUAGUUGAUUUGGUUUCUUAGUCGCGCUUAUAAUUGGUAAAGGAGGAGAAACAAAAGAGUAUGCAAGCUUCUACUGGAGCACGGAUUCAGUUAUCUCUUGUUCUUUGUUUUCUCUGCUCUUUUGUUAUAUAUUUUCAAAAUCAUAAUUUAUGUUUGAAGUUGGAUGGUGUUAAGGUUAACAGUGACGCCCAACUCUCAUGUCUCAAGACUUGGAUUUUCCAUUGUUAGUUACUUUUGACAACUAAUGCCUAUAAUUGAACAAUUACUUUUAAUGUUAAACACCAAUUGCGAAUGGAAGAAUCGAUUUGGAUCCAACUCCAUCCGGCUCAGAAUUCCCGGUGCCGGUGGAUUUUCAGAGAAUCGCAGGUAUUAUGCUUCUUCUCCCUGUUGUGUCACUUCGUAGUAUCUUCUUCUCAACUGUGAUUGCGAUUCUUCUUCUUCUUCAACUCUUCUGAACUGUGUUAUGGAAUUGCAGAGUCUAUCACUGCGGUGGUUUACGUGGCGAAGUGGUCACGCGAGGGAAGUGAAGUGAGCUCUCAGAGAUGAACUGUGAAGAAUAGCUCUAAUCUUUGAGCAAAAAGCAACCGAUUCUGAUAUGAGGUAGAGAGCUUGAGAGUGAAGAGUGAAGAUUGAAUGAGGAAUGAAAAAACUAAGAAAAGCUUCUGAUUGCACUGUUAUACAUGGAUUCUCAACCAAUCGGGCAACGGAUCGGGCAGGUUAGUUAUGUUAGGGCAGUUGUUAGGAUUUUGUUAAAACUCUGUUAGUUGCAAGUUAAUUUUAUAUGUGAAUUGAUUUUCUUAUUUUAUUUCCAUCAGUUAAAAUAGUUGUAUGCUCAUGGGGGAUAAGUCAAAAUUGGACCUUAGCUUGCAGUUCAGCUGGAUUUGCACGUUACUCUAUGAAGGUUGUUGUGGUUGGAAGUUCUGCUGUAAAAUGUUAGUUUGUUUUGUAGUUACAAGUCUGUCAAAUCAAUUAAAAUUAGUUAGGUAAGUUAGAGAACUAGUUGUCCAUGGUUAUAUGAAAUUAGAAAAAAAACUUAACUUUAUUCAAAGUCCGCUGUUAGUUAUUUCCAUUUUGACUCUGUUAGUUUUAUUUAUAAUCGAUUGCUUGAAUAUGUUACUACAAAGGUUAGAUUGAUGUAGUAAUCGUGUUAGCAAGUUGAUGGUGAGAAUCUGUCAUGGCCUAUUAGUAUAGAAACAUUAUUAGUGAAGGCAAGACCAUGACCAAACACUUGCCUGAUUAUUUGAUGUAGAACUUACUUGCUGAAACUUUCCGCUAUGCUAAGAUUGUCUGGUGGCAUGACUUGUCAUGGGCAUGAGCGCGGGAGCUGUUACCGCAGCAAGUUGUAUCAGUUAAGUUGUUAUGACUAAUUUUGGAAUCUGCAACGGACUCGUUUUAGACAAGCACUAGCUAGUGUGUUUUGAGUUGCCUCACUUGCCAACAACUUAAUAAUUGUAAUGGAUUUGAAGUUAAUUAAAAUUUUGCCACCGAUACUUUAGUAAAUCGAUUAAAAUGUCGUUACGAUGGUUAUAACAUACUGCUAUGUUGUUAAAAGCUGUUUGAAUGGUUUGAAUUGUGAGUUGUUAGAAACCAUGUAAUAACUUGAAGUAGGUUAGUGACGGUAUUACAUGAUUAUGUUAGAUCAAGUUAUAGGUUAAUUUAACUACAACAUUCGUUCUGUUGUGAUAUUAUGCAGGAUGUACUACCUGUUGGUUUCGAACUGAUUUCAGAAUUUGCAUCUGUACCGAAUUGGGUGGGGCUGCCACGGUUAUUUUGCACUUUUGGUAAUUUUUAUUAGCGAGUUUCAAUGAUGUCUAUGUGUAAUUAUUAGAUUAAAUUAAGGGUUAUACUUAUUUUCUGUGGAAUGCUAACUGUGGCGUUGUUAUGUAUGUUCUAAAACUUUUGAUUUGUGCCGUUUUCUGACUUGUGGAAAUUCAUGGAUGAAUAUAUGACAAUUCUGCUUCAUGAAUGAAUAAGAAUUUCUUCUGUGAACUGGAAUUUUUAAUGAUGUGAAUCUUUUAAAAAUUGGAAUGGAUGAAGAAAAUUGCUUUUGUGAAACUGGAAUUUCGUUUAUAUAUCCUUCAAAUACUGUUACAAUGCUCAUGAAUUAAUGCUAAACUAUAUGAAAUCAAUGGUUAGUAAACAUCAAAUGUUAGUUCAAUUUGGACUGAGUGGAUGUAACUUAAUUUGGCUUUGUUUUGUUAUAUUGGUUAGUUUUGUGAAUUAUGAAUAUAAGUGUAUCGGGACUUGUAUAAGUGGUAUGUUGUUAUGACAAUUGGUCUAUUCGUUUCUGGUAUGAAUAAGAACUUCUGUUAUAGUUUCAGGGUGGUAUGAACUUUUGUCCUGGCUUUUCUGUUAGUUGCAAUUCCGAAAGUGGUUUUAAAACGUAUGAAACGUGCAGGUGAUAUUCAUUCUGACCUGUUUAUUACACACUUAUGCAUGCUAUGCUUGGAUUACGAAAAGCCCCAUCUGUUGAAGGGGGCAACAGUAGUAUAUAGCAAAAAUAAAGAUACGAAAUUUGUUUUUUAUACCCGUUUAAUACCGGGUUACAUUUCAUUCUAAAUUCAUCUAUUAUAAUUUUCCAAGUUACCAUCUAACUUUGCCUAAUCAUUACAGUGGACAUUGGUUGUUGCUCGCAAUCAAUCCUAUCCGAGAAAUUGGUAUUAUCUUGACUCGAGAAAUGAUUGACAACAUACCGAUAUGAAGGUCCUAAUUGACCGUAAACGUGGAAUGUCAAAUUUAUUUCUUAGUUUUUGAAUUUUCUAAUUGCUUCAUUUUUUAUUUUAUAGCGUCCUAGCAACUUUUCGGACGCCAACGAAGUACCAAACCUCAGGAGGGGCGCGCAACUCCAUUACGUGGAUUCAAAGUGGGGUAUAUUUUGUUAAUUACCAGGACAUUUUUUAUUAUAUUACUGAUGACACUUGAAUAACUCGGAAUUUAUAAUCCAUAUUUUUUUUUCAUAUAUAGUGUCUCAACAACAGAACAAAUAAUUGCGGGUAUUUCAUGAUAUGAGGUUUAUGCGAGAUACUCUUGUUUGGCCGAUUAAAGAUUCCCCGUGUAUGUAUUUUAACUAUGAUUGGUUUUAUAAUUUUCAGCAUAUUCUAUAAUUAAUAGUUGGAAUUAAUUCAAAAUAUGUUAUAUUAUUAUAGUAUAUUUGAUGAAUUCAAGUGUGCCAUUUUAUAAAGGAUCAAGUGGAGAGAGUCAGAAACGGAGGUGGUGUCAAUUCAUGAUAAAGCUCAUGUUUUUCAUUAAAUUCUGUAAUUAAGUGUACAUUUGUAGUAUACCUUGUAUGAUUUAAAUGUGUAAAAUUUGUGUAUAUUUUGAUAACAUUUAAGGCAAUGAGUUGAAUUGGUAUAUAUAAUAUAUUUGUUACCAAAAUUGGUAGAAAAGGCCAAUGGGAAUAUCAAAAUGUGAUAAUUGUCUGUCAAAUCUGUGAACAGGUAAGAAAUUCUGUAUAAACCUGGAAAAAGUGGUUAAAACACAACAGUCUCAAACUUUUAGUUAUACCUUAGACUAGCGUUUGUAAAAAGCGCUGUCUAAGGGGGGGGGGGGGCGUUAGACAGCUAUUGGUUGAAAAAGCGCUUGUCUAAGGUAUACUAAAAAAUAUAAAAUAGGAGGUUAGAAAGCGCUGUCUGCUCAAGAGCGCUGUCUAAGGGGUGGGCUUAGACAGGCGCUUUCUAGAGAGGCUGUCUAAGAGUAUACCUAAAAAAUUAAAAUAAGAGGGUUUAUAGCGGUUUUGGCACAGCGCGUCUUAAGGGGGGGGGGGCUUAGACAGCGCUUUUUAAGAUUUAAAAAAGCGCUGUCUAAACCUUUAGCAGCGGAGGUUUAGACAGCGCUUUAAAGCGCUGUCUAAGGCUAAAAAAAGCGCUGUCUAAGGUCUUGUUUGUUGUAGUGGAGGUUUGUCUCUCGCAUAAAUCACCUUUCCGUAUCGGCGACGGAUACCAAACAUGAUUGCCAAAUUAUUAAUUGAGAUGUGGAACAAUGACUCACAUAACGCAUCUAUUUAUAACAAAAAAAAUGCAUUUUACACUGAGGCGUCAAUCCAAUUGACACCUCCUAUCAACUUAUACAAAAGGGGUCAAUCUAAUUGACGCCUGCAUUCAAUUUUUUAGAGGAGUCGCCAAUUGAAUUGGCGUCUCCUCCUAAAAGUGGGGUAGUUUAAGAUUUUUUUUGAAAUUAAGGGUAUUUUGGGAAUUUUCUUGAAAAAAUGGAUUAUUUUUGUAAAAAUUUCAAUAUAUACAUCUUGAUUAUAAAGAAAAAAGAGAAAUAAUAGAGAGUGUAACAAAUAAUUUAGUUUAGUAAAUGUAGCCAUAUAAUGUUGAAGCUAUGGAAUGAAGAAGCAAUGUGUAUUUAAAGGAAUAGUAGGCCAGUGUGUGACAUUGCAUGCAUGUGCGAUCGAAUAUAUAAUAAUUUGUCCAUCUUUUCAAAUUUUUCUGCUCAAACGCGCUUUAGUUUAUACUUAUUUAAAUUUUGGUAGUAAUGAUUUGUGGGUUAAAAAGGAAUAUGAUAGAAACAGUAUUGAAAAUUAUUGGCUAAGUUUUCUCAUUUUUAUAGCAUAUGUUUCAGGAAGUUUGAAUGAAGAAAUUGACAUAAUCUUAAGAUGAGGUAAAAUUGUUUUGCUUGUAUCUUGUGUUGCAAAGCAAGUAUUGAAAAUUAUUGGCUAAGUUUUCUCAUUUUUAUAGCAUAUGUUUCAGGAAGUUUGAAUGAAGAAAUUGACAUAAUCUUAAGAUGAGGUAAAAUUGUUUUGCUUGUAUCUUGUGUUGCAAAGCAACUUCAUUUAUAAUAUAUUUAAAUUAUUUUUUAGGUUGAUCAUGGUGACUAUUAUGUAGUAGUUUAUACAUUAAAAUGCAAUCUAUGUUGGAUGUGCUGUGUUUCUACCGUGGUCUUACAUACUCCAAUGACGUAAGCCUUGAAAUUUACACAGGCCUAUAAAUAAAUGUUCAGGUUUGUAUGCUUUUAUUGCAAAGUUUUAAAUGAGAAAAUAGGUUAAAUAACCCUAUUUUGAAUGAAAAGUGGGGUAAACAUUUUUAAAUGAAAAAAUAGGUUAAAAUAGUCUUACUGAAAAUGAAAAUGCAUUCAUCUUUUUACCAUAAUCUUUUUAUCGAAAGUGUUAAAAGGGAUGCAUGGUUUCAGACUCCAGAUUUUUAUCCUGAAAUUUCUCCAAACACUACAACAAAUAAUAUUUUUUAUGAUAAAAUUAACACUCCGAACAAUAAAAGAAUGAGGAUAUAAGUACUGAGGUUUCAUAUAUUUUUUUUAAAAUAGAUAACUAUUUAUCUCGGUUUUUAAGAAAAGCGAGAAAAUAGAGCUAUAAGGGAGCUCGUUUCGACACCUAGUUAUUGUAUUUUAUGCUUUUUUUUUCUAAUUGUUUAGUUAAUAUUUCUCACUUGAUGUUUUUCCAAGUUCCAUUUUUAUCAUUGUUAUUUUUUUAUUAGUAUUUACCUUGGCUAUAUGGUCCAACUAAGAGGUAAUAUAUUUUGUAUUAAUCAAUUUCAAAGUAUUAUUUUCAAAAUCUUAUUUUAAUUUUUGAUUUAAUAUGUUUAAACCCAUUAGUUAUACAAAAAAAACGACGCCAUAUAUCUUUAUUGAAUUUCUAAAAUAUGGCAUUAUUGUGUGUUUUAUAGUUUAUAAUUUUAAUUAAUACUGUCACUUUGGGUUUUAUAUAAAAUCGACUUGACACAUAUAUUGUAUGAAAUACUUCAGACUAUAAUUUAGCUAGUUUCUAACUUUGCAUUUACAUAUCAGUGCAAACAUCAUUUCGUCACUCUCACCUCACAAAAAACCUAGGUGAUUUUUAAGCUAAUAUUCAUCAAAUAUCCUCCAACAGAUAUUCAUCAAACAUAAUUUACGUAACAAGUUUGUUCUUGACUGAAACGAGUUAUAUACCACUUUGUUUUUCACUAAUCAUUUAGUCUAGGAAUUUAUGUUAGUUUGUCUUUUGAUCAUUUUUUUUUUCUACGAUUUUCCAUUUGUUUUUAUUGAGACAUUAGUUAGUAUAGUUUCUCUUGAUCAUUUUGAGGUUUAUUUAGAUAGCCAUUUCGUCAACAAAUAUCAUUUUUCGUCAAGUUUGUUAUCCACUUAAACGAGUUAUAUAUCACCAAAAUGAGUUAUAUCUCACUGAAAUGAGUUUAUAUCAUUUUGUUUUUUUACUAUUUGUAUCUUGAUAAUUUUGUUUCUAUGUAUUUGUCUCUUGGUAGUCAUGGUCGAUUUGACAAGCAGGGGAAGCGAGAGAGGAUGACUGAGGAGAAGGUGUCGAGAAGUGUAUCCACGAUGUGUUUGAGGUAUAAGUUGUAGGUUAUUGUUGUUAUUAUUGUUUGCGUAAUUUAAUUUUUGAUUGUAUUUAUGUUGUUUUUAUGAUAUAUAAGUUGAAUUUGUUGGGCCUAUUAAGCUACAGAAAUUCAAAUCAGUUGGAAAUUCGAUAAAAUGAAGUUCAAAAAGUUAUAGGUGGUGCAAGCGCGGAAGAAUCAAACAAAACCAAAGUUUUUAAAAGUGUUUCCUAUUCCCCCUUGAAUACCUUCAAAGGUUUCUCAAAUUCCAAGAAUAUAGUUAAAUGGAUUUUUAUCCUUGGCUUUCUAAGUUUCUCCUAGGAUUAUCACAUUCUCCCUCUGUCUUUCAGACUAUAUUUUAAAGGUUAUGAAGAAGAGAAUCAUAGAAAUACAUAUUUAUAACUAUUGAAACUUAAUUGAUCCUUAACGAAUCCAAAAAAAAUCAUCAAUGUACAUAUAUGAGAACUUAAACAACCAAGUCUCAUACACGCGAACCAUAUAAGCUGAACUAAAUGCUUGAUGGGCAAAAAUUGUCCGGCCAGAUUCAACCUGUCACCGCCAACCACUGCCUGAUUAUAACCCCUGCGAGAGCUCCUCCGCAUACCGACUUUACCUCAAUUGAACAUCUUCCGUCAAACUCUUCGAUUCCUCUAGUGGCAGUUGUCGAGCUCCUUCACGCAAUAAAUUUAGACCAUCAGACCGUUGUCGCUAGCCGCCAUCUACUAAUUUUUGAAAAUGUUAGAAAAAAAAUUUUAAUAAACAAAAUGGAUUAAAAAAAGCAUUAGGGGUGCUCAACCCUUACAAGAGAGAGUCAUGAAGGGAAAUAAUUAGUAACAUAAAAUAGCUCAAAUUUGAUUUUCAUAUAUGCCAAUCGAUCUGAGAAUGCUCCUGAAUCCUAAUAGACCACAACUCUCAAACAAAAAACUUUGAGAACUCAACAAUGACCUAAAUUUUCAACACACCAUCAUGAAAUAAAAUUAUAUUUCUCCUCGUCCGUAAAGACCAUCAAAUAGUUAACUAGAAAAGACAAAAAAAAAACGUAAUGGAAUGGAAUAUUGGAUAUGAUUGCGUUGAAUAUAGUCACACUUCCUCACAACUAUCUUUGUGAUUAUUGCUGAAUGUUUUAAGGCAUGCCUUUUAAUAUUCUUAACAAAACUUUAAAAAAAUUCUUAAAAUGUGCUUUUGCUUUGAGUAAAAACAAUUGUACCACGAAAUACUUUUUUCCACUUUAAACAAGCAUAUCGACCCAACAAGGACUAGUUCCCACAUUUGUUAUAUUUCACAAUCUUCAAUUAUUUGCAACUUUUUCCUUUGUUUUGUUAUUAUUAGACAAGUCAACUAUGUUCUUAUUCAUCUUUAUCUCACAAAUUUUGCCCACCCGUUUCUCCUAAAAGUUUUAAAAAAUUAAAUAAAAAUUAUAAAGCGCGUAUUGAGCAGACAAAUUUGAAAAGUGUGACAAUUAUUCACCUUUCUGACUUUUACGAAUCUCCUCUGUAUGCAUGCACCGUCAUACUCACCUAUAUAUAUUGCUUAAUCUUUCAUUUGCUUCUUCAUUCACACUUCACACACUUCCUUUCCUUCUUUCAAUACUAUUUGUUACACUCUCUAUUAUGGCUACCUUUAUUAAAUUAUUUGUUACACUCUCUAUUAUUUCUCUCUUAGUAUGUUCUACCAAUGCACAACUUACUAAUAACUUCUAUGCUAGAACUUGUCCUAGUCUUCAAACAAUUGUUCGUAAUACAAUGAUCACUGCUAUCAAAACUGAAGCAAGAAUUGGUGCUUCUAUACUUCGCUUGUUCUUCCAUGACUGCUUUGUUAAUGUAUGAUAAUCUUCAAAAAUCAUUUAUUUAUGCACUAUUUGUGCUUUAUCACACAUGUCACGGACUAUAUUUUUUAACAUGUGAGUUUUAUUUGUUUGUUUGUUUAUGAUGGUAGGGAUGUGAUGGAUCAAUCUUAUUGGAUGACACUGCCACGUUUACGGGUGAGAAAAGUGCUGGACCUAACAUAAACUCAGCUAGAGGUUUUGAAGUGAUUGAUACAAUUAAAACCAACGUUGAAGCUUCUUGCAAUGCCACUGUCUCUUGUGCUGAUAUUCUAGCUCUAGCAGCUAGAGAUGGAAUCUUUCUGGUUAGUCACCCAUUUCUUUAUAUUUGUAGAUAAGUAUAUUUUACUAGAAAAAAAUAUGUAUUUUCUGUCAUGUCAUUUGAAGUAACGUGUGUUUUGUUGUUAUAAUAUGAUUUAUUUUGUUCCACCUGUUGAGAAUGCUUUGAAAUCAUAAAGUAAGAUUCCAAUAUCCAGUCAUUCUCAAGUAUCUAACAUGUGUUUAUUUUUAUCCUAUCAUUUCAUUUUUGUCAUGAGCUUGUUUUCAAACCAUGUCUCCCACUAUCUCUUUUACUUUUUCUCACAUAUAAUUUUUACUAUAGCUUGGAGGACCCAGAUGGAUGGUUCCACUUGGAAGAAGAGAUGCAAGAACAGCAAGCCAAAGUGCUGCCAACAGUCAAAUCCCUGGACCAUCAUCUGACCUUGCAACCCUCACCACAAUGUUUAGAAACAAAGGUCUAACAUUAAAUGACCUUACUGUCCUUUCUGGUGCACACACCAUAGGCCAAACUGAGUGUCAAUUUUUCAGAAAUCGCAUAUACAAUGAAACCAACAUUGACAAAAACUUUGCUACCUUAAGAAAAACAAAUUGUCCUUCCUCUGGUGGUGACACCAAUUUGGCACCUCUAGAUUCCGUCACUCCAACUACUUUUGACAACAACUACUAUAAUGACCUUAUUGCUAAUAAAGGACUUCUUCACUCUGAUCAAGCUCUUUUCAAU